RNAcentral lists this ribosomal RNA (425 nucleotides) under uncultured bacterium. RNAcentral's name for it is "partial 16S ribosomal RNA". It matches the Rfam family "Bacterial small subunit ribosomal RNA", at positions 354 to 796 of the family's 1533-position model. The record is from RNAcentral.
GUGGGGAAUAUUGGGCAAUGGGGGAAACCCUGACCCAGCAACGCCGCGUGAAGGAAGAAGGUCUUCGGAUCGUAAACUUCUAUCCUUGGUGAAGAUAAUGACGGUAGCCGAGAAGGAAGCCCCGGCUAACUACGUGCCAGCAGCCGCGGUAAUACGUAGGGGGCAAGCGUUGUCCGGAAUGAUUGGGCGUAAAGGGCGCGUAGGCGGCCUGGUAAGUCUGGAGUGAAAGUCCUGCUUUUAAGGUGGGAAGUGCUUUGGAUACUGUCGGGCUUGAGUGCAGGAGAGGUAAGCGGAAUUCCCGGUGUAGCGGUGAAAUGCGUAGAGAUCGGGAGGAACACCAGUGGCGAAGGCGGCUUACUGGACUGUAACUGACGCUGAGGCGCGAAAGUGUGGGGAGCAAACAGGAUUAGAAACCCGAGUAGUCC